This 24-nucleotide non-coding RNA is filed under the name Arabidopsis thaliana (thale cress). Lineage: Eukaryota; Viridiplantae; Streptophyta; Magnoliopsida; Brassicales; Brassicaceae. The record is from RNAcentral.
AUCCCGGACGAAGCUACCACGUGC